GGGGCUGUGGUGGACAGCCUAUAAAUCCACCUCCGUUCCGCAGCUCUCCUCUGGCCCAGAGACCAACUGGCGUUGGUCUCGAGCCCUGACAAUGCUCCUGCAACGUCUGCACUGUAUGGCAUAGACGACGUUGCAGGAGAGUAGUGUGAAGGACUGCGUGAUGGGGACACCGGCACGAGAGCUGGAGAUGUACUUGAGGUUUGAAAAGGAGGACUGGCCGGUCUGGUUGGAAGAGGGCGAUCACUUCCCCUUUAAUGGUCCGAAGGAAGCGUUUGGAGUAGCCACGUGGUCUAAGGGCCUUAAAGAGGAUCCUGGUGGCCUCCUCCACGUGC
Molecule: long non-coding RNA, 332 nt
Organism: Gadus chalcogrammus (walleye pollock)
Lineage: Eukaryota; Metazoa; Chordata; Actinopteri; Gadiformes; Gadidae
Exons: 3
Source: RefSeq, a predicted model, not a curated record